RNAcentral lists this signal recognition particle RNA (98 nucleotides) under Spirochaetota bacterium. RNAcentral's name for it is "signal recognition particle sRNA small type". It matches the Rfam family "Bacterial small signal recognition particle RNA". Rfam says of the family: The signal recognition particle (SRP) is a universally conserved ribonucleoprotein involved in the co-translational targeting of proteins to membranes. Lineage: Bacteria; Pseudomonadati; Spirochaetota. The record is from RNAcentral.
GUCCAGGUCCUGUUCAGUCGAAACCGGUUCCAACCCGUCAGGUCCGGAAGGAAGCAGCGGAGAGCCGCAGACGAUGCGGAGCAGUCAACCUGGACUAU